Molecule: ribosomal RNA, 253 nt
Filed under: uncultured bacterium
Lineage: Bacteria
Description: partial 16S ribosomal RNA
Rfam family: Bacterial small subunit ribosomal RNA
Source: RNAcentral
UACGUAGGGUGCAAGCGUUAAUCGGAAUUACUGGGCGUAAAGCGUGCGCAGGCGGUUUUGUAAGUCUGUCGUGAAAGCCCCGGGCUCAACCUGGGAAUUGCGAUGGAGACUGCAAGGCUUGAAUCUGGCAGAGGGGGGUAGAAUUCCACGUGUAGCAGUGAAAUGCGUAGAGAUGUGGAGGAACACCGAUGGCGAAGGCAGCCCCCUGGGUCAAGAUUGACGCUCAUGCACGCAAGCGUGGGGAGCAAACAGG